RNAcentral lists this ribosomal RNA (119 nucleotides) under Hucho hucho (huchen). Lineage: Eukaryota; Metazoa; Chordata; Actinopteri; Salmoniformes; Salmonidae. The record is from RNAcentral.
GCUUACGGCCUUACCAGCCUGAAAGUCCCUGAUCUCGUCAGAUCUUGGAAGCUAAGCAGGGUCGGGCCUGGUUAGUACUUGGAUGGAAGACUUCCUGGGAAUACCAGGUGCUGUAAGCA